AUAAGAAAAUGCAAUUGUUGCUGUAAAAAAUAUAAUUAAAUAUGUGUCACAAAUAAGAAAAGCAACGGAAAUUAAUAUGCAUAAUAUGGGAUAUCGCUUAAAUGCCAACAAGCUGCACCUAACCAAACCCAACUGCAAAGAUUCUUUUCUGUCGCAGCAAGAUUAAGAGAAACAAAAAAAACAAAAAUAACGGCACAAGUCUUGAUGAAAAAAAAAAUAUAGCAAAGCGCAAAGCAGAAGAAGAAUAAAGCAGCUGCUUGCGGCGCAUUGCUGCUGCGCCACAUAUAUACGAAAAAUCGAUAGUUGAAGCCGCAGCAGCAGCAGUCGUCGCAGCAGUCGACGUCGACGUCAGCGGUUAGCGUCAGCAGACGAAAACGCUUAUUAAAUGACAGCUAAAAAUAGACAAAACAACAACAACAACAGGAAGAACGGAUACAACAAAAGUUUCAACUAUUAAAGCAAAGCAACUAACUACACGUGGCAACAAUGGUCGACGCAAAGCCACCGCCCACACGCACGCCCACGCCGGGCACACCGCCGGCUGCAUUUGCCGGCGAGAGAUCGAAAAUAAAAUUAUUUAUGGAACGGACGCCGAGCAUCGGUGCGCUAAAGUCCAAAUUUUUGACAGUGUUGGGCAACAGCAAUGAGCUGUUCAAUGGCAUAUCAAACAAGUUAACGUUGAGCAGCAGCAGCAGCGAUUCAGAUUAUUGCGACGACGAUGACGAGGAUUUGCCCAAGUAUGACGAGACUAUUGACUAUACGAAAAUCGAUUUUGAGGCGCGUCGCGUGAAGGCGCGCCGUGCGCAUGAGGAGAUCAUCUCGGGUCGCUUCAGACAACCCAAUUUGGCGCCGCGUCCACGCUUGGAGCUCUCGCGCACGCGUCACACCAACAAGCUGGGCGGCCCGCUGCGCUCCAGUUCGCCGUCCUCGUCCAGCAGCGGCGGCAGCAGCAGCGAUGACAGCAGCUCCGCGUCACUGCCGGAGCCAACGGCAGCCGCACGUUCGCACGAUGUGAGCAGCACCACGCACUCGAAUUCUCUGGAGUUUGAGUCGCGCCACUCGGGUGGCUAUGAGCGACCCCGAGCCAUUGCGGGCGCUCGACGCAGCGAGCUGGACAUGCAAAAGGAUAUGCAGCGCAUUAGUGAGAUGCUUGAGGCCACGACCAUGCCUCCACUAAUUGAUGUGCAGCCGCCCACAGAAGGCGGCGGCGGCGGCGGUGGCAGCUUGAUGACGCGCCAGCCCUGGGGCGCGAACAGCUCAAUGCGAGUUGUGCCCACACGCAGUCGCACCUCGAACAGCAGCACGUUGACCAGCCUGCGGGAUGAGCCUGAUCAGCUGCAGGCCAGCCCCAGCAUGGAGUCCAGCGAUUGGCGCAACUUUAUACGCUCCGAAUCGCAAAAUUCGGUGCCCUCAUGGGCAUCCUCCAUAAGCUUGGAUUGUCGUGCCGGCGAGGAGCCCGUUAAGGAAUUCAUGAAGCAUUUCACCCAGCUGCUCUUUAGCAAUUCGGCAGCUGUCAAUCUGGAGCUUAAGUCCGAGCUUGGUGUGCUACUGCGCCUGGAGAUGGGCCGCCUGUGGUUCACCAGAUUUCUCAGCGAGCAGCGCAACAAAUCGAAGCGCCUGGAAACCUUAACAUUCAAUGCACUUGCCCAAUACUUUGCCCUGGCGCUAUUCGAAUGCGGCGAGUGCGAGGAUCAUGCGCCAGCGGCGGUGCUUAUGAAUCUCUGUUUCUUGUUCUAUCACGAAGUUGAAGUUCCUGGCUGUGAUCCUUAUCGCGAGUAUCUGUUCAUAUCGCUGCGCCAGCAGCCGCUGUGGCAGCAGCCGCGCUUCUGGAACGCCAUCUUCCAGGAUGCCAUGCAGGCUGAGCGUGAGCAUCGGCUCAGCUCGCAGCUGCGCCGCCAGCAGCGCCGUCAGGCAAAGCAGCAGCAGCGCCUUGCAGCCGGAGCAGCAGCCGCAGCUGCAGCAGGAACAGCUCCAGAGUCGGUGGUGCCCGAUGCUCGCAAGAACGGCGUUGAUUCCUCCUCAAGCUCCUCGCACCAGGGCAGCGCACCGGCGGCGACGUUGGCAACAGCCAAACGCAAAUCUAGCAAAUGCAGCUUGGGCCAGCCGCAAUCGGCCAAGGAGCAGGACGAUAUUGCAUUUCGGCAAUUGAGUGCCUUCACGUGCAACAUGCACUCGCUGGGCACCAGCCAGGAAUUGUGUCUCGAUUUUCUAAAGAAACAUGUUGUGGCGCUCAAUCUAUCCAAGGGGCAUAAAGAACAUUCGCUGUAGGGUAAUAAGAUUCUGUCCACCGAACAGAACCGUAUAUACCCUACCAAAUGGAAGCAUGUCAUGGAAGAAUGUCAACAGAGAAGCGUAUAUACCCUGCCAAAUGCACGCACAAAUGCUACCAACACAGAAGCGUAUAUACCCUACAAUAUAUAUAAAUGCAUAUGGCAACAGAGAAGCUUAUAUACCCUACAGUUGGCACUUACAACUGCUAACAGAGAAGCUUAUAUACCCUACCAUUUUGUGCAGACAAGUUGGGCAAUUAUUGGAAUAAGUCUUCAGUCCAGCGACAUGGAGAUACGCGCGUGACACAAUUUCGUUUAAUUGAACUGGAAGACACUGACUAUGCUCCGUGUAAGUGUAUAGGUUACAAUAUUCGCCUCCAAAGAUGAGUUGUCCAAGGCAGCGAGUGCACAUCCCGCAGACAGCCAAGCAUAUAGUAGGAUCUGAUCUGGCAGGAUCUGGCCUAGAUCAAAGUCAGGAGCUGCAUUCUCCAGGGUAGGGAUACAUUUAGGCAACGAGGCUCAGGCAAAACGCAUUAACUAUUCAUCAUGUUGUCACAAUCACAAGUGGGAACUAACAGCGGCAGCCUGCUGUUGCCGAAUUCACUACUGGGAUGAAACGAACGGAAAACAUCGUUGCGAGGGCGCAAAGUGGACAGCAAAAAUCAGCGCGCAGAAAGCAAUAAUAGUUCAUGCACAUGUGUAUAUUUAUGUAUGUAUGUAUUGGUCUGCAUAAACUGGCUUGUGAAUUUGUUUCCUCAUGCGUUGUCUACUUAUUAAUGUGUGUCUGCUUAAACGUUAUCUUCAAAUUGAUCGCACUCCAUCAAAAUUUGUUGUUGCUCGUCGCUCCUAACAAGAAUUUAUCUUAUUACCGUUUGCUUGAUCUCUUUUAUGUGUGUCGUUUCUUCGUCCGUUAUUUACAUGCAUGCAUGUAUGUAUGUAUGUGCGCAUAUGUAGAUAAUGCACAAGCACGCGCUUACACACGCUUACACACAUAUGUACAUACAUAUGUUCGCUCAAAUUGGACAGUCUUCUCUCAUUCUGUGUUAGUUUUAUUCCAGAAGUCAAUUUGAUGCGUUGUUUUGUUGAGAAUUAAAGUCGUUUGAAGCUAUUGCAAAAUAUAAUUGGAAUGUCUCGGUCAAAUACCGUCCAAUUGGCGAUUUGUUUACCUUCUCGGACGCAUGCCUCCAGCUGGGGAACAGCAUUGCUCGGUUCUCUUUCGUAUCGCGUGGGCUUGGACAGCGAUUGAAUACUUAACCGAUCCCAUUGCUUAUUUUCCAUAUUGCAACACAUAAAUAUGCUCGAUAAAGACAAGGCGAGCCGGGAUCAACUCCUUUGUGCUAGUCUGCCAGAGAGGUCGGUGCAAUUAUGUGGUCGGAAUUAAAAAGGGGUUUCUGCUCUAUCUCGCCCGUCUGCCGCUGCCAUUAGGAUGAGGACAUGGCUUGUGGAUAUCCUUUGCCGACAACUCUGCACCUGCUGCUGCCGAUGCCACGCCCUACAGAUUUCUGGUAUUCACAGCUCCAAAUUGAAGGAUUUAAGGACUCUAAUCGAUUCUAAGGACUUUUACGAAUCUAACGAGGCUAUUCCUUCCAGGAUCGGAUAUGUUUUAAGCCAAAUAUGGACAUUUUAAGUUAAAAUCGAAAAUAUAUGUGAAAAACAA
This is an RNA transcript of Drosophila virilis, 3927 nucleotides long. RefSeq lists it as uncharacterized. The record is from RefSeq and is a predicted model, not a curated record. NCBI's taxonomy places the organism in Eukaryota, Metazoa, Arthropoda, Insecta, Diptera, Drosophilidae.